AACGAACGCUGGCGGCAGGCUUAACACAUGCAAGUCGAACGCCCCGCAAGGGGAGUGGCAGACGGGUGAGUAACACGUGGGAACAUGCCCAAAGGUACGGAAUAUUCUCGGGAAACUGGGAGCAAUACCGUAUGUGCCCGAAAGGGGAAAGAUUUAUCGCCUUUGGAUUGGCCCGCGUUGGAUUAGCUAGUUGGUGGGGUAAAAGCCUACCAAGGCGACGAUCCAUAGCUGGUCUGAGAGGACGACCAGCCACACUGGGACUGAGACACGGCCCAGACUCCUACGGGAGGCAGCAGUGGGGAAUCUUGGACAAUGGGCGCAAGCCUGAUCCAGCCAUGCCGCGUGAGUGAUGAAGGCCCUAGGGUUGUAAAACUCUUCGUGGGGGACGAUAAUGACGGUACCCCAAGAAGAAGCUCCGGCUAACUUCGUG
This 430-nucleotide ribosomal RNA is filed under the name uncultured bacterium. RNAcentral's name for it is "bacterial SSU rRNA". It matches the Rfam family "Bacterial small subunit ribosomal RNA", at positions 29 to 507 of the family's 1533-position model. The record is from RNAcentral.